AUGGCCGACCACCGGCAACUUAGCGCCGCCGACGUCGACCUCUACGGCGUCCUGGGGCUCAAGAAGGAGUGCUCCGACGCCGACCUCAGGCUCGCCUACCGGAGGCUCGCCAUGACAUGGCAUCCGGACCGGUGCUCGGCGUCCGGCACCUCGGCGCGCGUCCAGGAGGCCAAGGAGCGCUUCCAGGAGAUCCAGAGCGCAUAUUCGUCGCAGGUGUCGGGGAUGGGCGACUUCUUCGGGGAGAUGGCCGAGAUGAUGAGCCAGGCCACGCCAACCGAUAGCUUCGAGGAGCUGCAGCAGCUGUUCGUGGACAUGUUCCAGGCCGACCUCCUCGCCGGCGGGUUCGCGUGCGGGUUGGGCGGUGCGCCUCCUAUGGGCCGCCGGGUGCAGGCCCCGAGUCCAUCCUGUACCUCUGGACCUACGUUUGCGCAGGCACGGCCAUCAUGUACCAGCCGUGCCAACAAGCGGUGUUCAUCGGCGAUGGGAUCGCCAGGGGCCUGUCGUCCAGGGUCCGGCCCCGGCCUUUCAGUGUCAAGCUCCAAGGGAAGUGAUUGGAGGCGAGGAGAGGAGGCGCCGUGGACGACGACGCAGGAUGACGCGAGCGUCGGCGGCAGGACGAAGAAAAAGAGGCUGUCGACGGGCCACGGCGAGUCGUGCUAG
This 660-nucleotide ribosomal RNA is filed under the name Triticum aestivum (bread wheat). RNAcentral describes it as "partial small subunit ribosomal RNA". Lineage: Eukaryota; Viridiplantae; Streptophyta; Magnoliopsida; Poales; Poaceae. The record is from RNAcentral.